Molecule: ribosomal RNA, 343 nt
Filed under: Salmonella enterica subsp. enterica serovar Corvallis
Lineage: Bacteria; Pseudomonadati; Pseudomonadota; Gammaproteobacteria; Enterobacterales; Enterobacteriaceae
Description: partial 23S ribosomal RNA
Rfam family: Bacterial large subunit ribosomal RNA
Source: RNAcentral
UGUUUCGGCUAGGGGGCCAUCCCGGCUUACCAACCCGAUGCAAACUGCGAAUACCGGAGAAUGUUAUCACGGGAGACACACGGCGGGUGCUAACGUCCGUCGUGAAGAGGGAAACAACCCAGACCGCCAGCUAAGGUCCCAAAGUCAUGGUUAAGUGGGAAACGAUGUGGGAAGGCCCAGACAGCCAGGAUGUUGGCUUAGAAGCAGCCAUCAUUUAAAGAAAGCGUAAUAGCUCACUGGUCGAGUCGGCCUGCGCGGAAGAUGUAACGGGGCUAAACCAUGCACCGAAGCUGCGGCAGCAACGCUGAUGCGUUGUUGGGUAGGGGAGCGUUCUGUAAGCCUG